UCUGUAGCUCAGUUGGUAGAGCAGGGGACUGAAAAUCCCCGUGUCGAUGGUUCGAUUCCGUCCGUC
RNAcentral lists this transfer RNA (66 nucleotides) under uncultured Ruminococcus sp. It matches the Rfam family "tRNA", at positions 6 to 65 of the family's 71-position model. Rfam says of the family: Transfer RNA (tRNA) molecules are approximately 80 nucleotides in length. Their secondary structure includes four short double-helical elements and three loops (D, anti-codon, and T loops). Further hydrogen bonds mediate the characteristic L-shaped molecular structure. tRNAs have two regions of fundamental functional importance: the anti-codon, which is responsible for specific mRNA codon recognition, and the 3' end, to which the tRNAs corresponding amino acid is attached (by aminoacyl-tRNA synthetases). tRNAs cope with the degeneracy of the genetic code in two manners: having more than one tRNA (with a specific anti-codon) for a particular amino acid; and 'wobble' base-pairing, i.e. permitting non-standard base-pairing at the 3rd anti-codon position. The record is from RNAcentral. Lineage: Bacteria; Bacillati; Bacillota; Clostridia; Eubacteriales; Oscillospiraceae.